CCAAGAGGAUUCUGGAGCGCGCACAGGAGCCGCGUGAGCCCCGCCGGCCUGCAAACCCCAGCGGGACCGGACGCGAAAGCAACGGGGCCACCGGUUCUGUGCCCGCCUUUCCAUUUUCCAACACCCUCACCCUUGAUUAUCCAGCCUCGUUGCCUCGGCGGGCCCGCCCGCCAGAGGACACAACCCAAACCACUGUUGUGAACGGCGUGGUCUGAGCUACAAAGCAAUUGUUA
RNAcentral lists this unclassified non-coding RNA (233 nucleotides) under uncultured Ascomycota. RNAcentral's name for it is "sequence contains ITS1". Lineage: Eukaryota; Fungi; Ascomycota. The record is from RNAcentral.